CUGGCCCUUGGAAGGUCUUUCUAAUUAGCUUCCCAAACUAUAUAGCCUGCAGGAGAGAGUAACUCAGGACCUAGAAGAACUCACAGGAGGAAAAAAAGCCCUAAGUUUUAUUACAUGCUCACAAAGGCCCAGUGAUGAAAUUGAGAUGAAACAAUGACCAACG
Long non-coding RNA from Neomonachus schauinslandi (Hawaiian monk seal), 163 nucleotides. RefSeq lists it as uncharacterized. The record is from RefSeq and is a predicted model, not a curated record. The transcript is spliced from 3 exons. NCBI's taxonomy places the organism in Eukaryota, Metazoa, Chordata, Mammalia, Carnivora, Phocidae.